Long non-coding RNA from Serinus canaria (Common canary), 341 nucleotides. RefSeq lists it as uncharacterized. NCBI's taxonomy places the organism in Eukaryota, Metazoa, Chordata, Aves, Passeriformes, Fringillidae. The transcript is spliced from 5 exons. The record is from RefSeq and is a predicted model, not a curated record.
CUAUCCCCUCAGCAGAAGUGAUCUGAAAAACAUGGCAGAAGGGAGAUGAUGAGCUGAAUAAGCUUCUAGCCAGCUAAUAAGGUAAUCAGAGUAUUUAGAAACAUGGGAACUGUGACAUCCAUGAUUAAGGGCUGGAAGAAAACUCAGGAAGAUGCAUCAGCCUGAAGUGUGGGAAUAAAAAUGCAUCAUCCAGCAAAUCAGAGGGGGAUCAUCAGAAGUACAUUCCAAUCAGCAGCAUGAACCACAAAGAGUGCCCAGCAAUUGGUGCUAUCCACCCAAAAGAAGCCAACUCAAAAGAGGAGGAAAAUGAAGGCAGGAAGAGGCAAAGCAUGUUCUGCAAG